Molecule: ribosomal RNA, 373 nt
Filed under: uncultured organism
Description: partial 16S ribosomal RNA
Rfam family: Bacterial small subunit ribosomal RNA
Source: RNAcentral
GUAGGUGGCAAGCGUUGUCCGGAAUUAUUGGGCGUAAAGCGCGCGCAGGCGGUCCUUUAAGUCUGAUGUGAAAGCCCACGGGCUCAACCGUGGAGGGUCAUUGGAAACUGGGGGACUUGAGUACAGAAGAGGAAAGCGGAAUUCCACGUGUAGCGGUGAAAUGCGUAGAGAUGCGGAGGAACACCAGUGGCGAAGGCGGCUUUCUGGUCUGUAACUGACGCUGAGGCGCGAAAGCGUGGGGAGCAAACAGGAUUAGAUACCCUGGUAGUCCACGCCGUAAACGAUGAGUGCUAAGUGUUAGGGGGUUUCCGCCCCUUAGUGCUGCAGCUAACGCAUUAAGCACUCCGCCUGGGGAGUACGGCCGCAAAGGCUG